UUGUUGGAUGUGGCUGUAAGCACAACAGGGUUACAUUAUAGGACUAGUGUGUGUAGAAAAAAAUUAGUAUUGGCGUAUUAUUUUCCCAGCCACUCCUCCAAGAAUGAGAUUUCACAUUGUGUUUCUAAAGACCCUUUGAAUAGUUAUUAUAUAGUAUCCUUUCAGAAAUGAAAGGAAUGGACAAAGCAAGACUAAAAGGCAAUUUGGAGAGUAUCCUUCAAGAUUAGGGAGAUAGCAGAAGUGUGUGGAUUCUACAAGCACUGGGUGCCCCUCCGCUGAUGUCUUGCAGUGACUCAACAUGUGACAGGACCUCAGAAAGGAACUGCCACAUAGAGAGUUCCCAAGGAGGCUGGAUCCUGGGCACCGAGCUCUUGGCCUUGGCAAAACCGAAACAAACAAACAAAAAAACAAGGCCCUCAAGACCUCCUGUCUUGAGGAAUAGUACAGCUCUGAACACUGACUACAAAAGCUGUGAUCUUUAGAGACCAAAUACAAGAGGACCCUCAGGGCAUUCGCAUGGAAACAAGAAGGACCCUAUCAUAACACGGUUUGACUUUUCCAUCAGUCAGGCUAAAUAGGAACUUGGAGCAUAUUAAAUUUAUUUAGAGAAAGGAAAGAAAUGUAAUAUUACUCACAUCCUGUGUUUUGAAGAAAAUCAUGCUGCUAUCAACUUUAUGACUGUCUCAAAGCAGGGCUUCCUUCCACUCUACGUUUUUUAUAGAGACCAUAGUGAAGUAGCUUUUUGACUCACCCUUUCUCAGAGCCUCUAUCAUAGAACUGUGAGGGCUAAGCUGGAGAUAAGCUCAGUUACAAUCACUAGGCUAUGUUCAAAAACCACUGUUUCUCUUCAACCUCAAAAAAUUGUCCUAGAUCAAGUGAGUGUACCUAGGGAACUGACUUAAGCAAAUGUGGUUUUUCAUGAGUUUUAGGCUAUUUUGGCAGGUAUCAGUCACCUCCGGUAGCUAUGAAUGGAUGAGAUUUGUAAUUAUCCUCCCCUACAAUCACAUUACCAAGGAAUAUAAUGAAAGCGCAUUUUAGACCAAAGAAGCCACAUGUGCAAAUACUCAUUAUAAGAAGACCCAGAAACAACUAGAAAACCUGAGACAUGUGCAAAGAAGUCCCAGGAAAUACUACGUAUGUAUAAAACGGUCAUUCAAGGCAGAUGUAUAAGUAUCCUGGUAAAGAAUUCAGGUAUAUUUCUGGGUAGAAGCCAAGCCACAGGAUCCUCCUUUGAGUUGCUGAACUAAGCCUUAGUGAAGACCUGGUCCAAGAAGGCCUCUGUGAGGCUCUUUCUAGAUUCUUACUUCCUGUUGUUCAAAAAAGGCAGCCGUGCAUGUAUACAAUAUUUUCAGCUAAUCCACAUAACUUGAUCACCACUCUUUUACCUUUGAAAAAUCAUUCUAGUAUCUCUUAUGCUAACUAGGAAAACUUCUUGUCCUUAUUGGAGAUAAAGUUAUAAGAGGAUUGCUGGUCACAGUUUUUCAAUGAGAGUUGCCUAUCCCUGAAAUUGAAAUUCCUUAGUCAAAUAUUUCAGAAGUUAAUUAUCCGCCUCUAUCCACUCUAAAAAAGUACAUGUGCAUGUAAGCACACACGUACCCCUCUGUGAGCACUAGAUAACUAUAAAGUAAUUCAGAGAAUAUAAUAGCACUGCACUCUCUUCUGCAGAGUUCUCUCCUGAAUGAUUGAGAGGUUUGAACUCUUGCUUGUUCCCAGUCAUAGGGCUUAACCUUGGAGUGCAGUUUCCUUUCAUUGUCUUUCGUCUAAGUGUCCCAUACAAAUAAGUCUCUGGUAAACCACAGAGCUGGCUAUAGAUAACCACACAUGUAUGAGAUCAUGAUGAAUACACAGCUUGUAUAUAUCUUGCACCUGGUUUUCCAGCCAAAAUACUGCAGCCAUUUUUAAAAGCAAAUACAAACCCAGUAGUGCUGUUUUGAACCUUCAAGAGACUCUUGACUUCCAGUUCUCUAUCUGUUACAGAAUCCCAUAGUGCAUGUUCUCACUGCAAUGCAGAUACCUAGAAAAAUUCCCACAUGGAGAAUCUUGGUACCUGCAAUAUGUUGAUUUUUUUUUUCUUUCUUCCAGGAACAGAGGAUGUUAAUAAAUUGUGGAUUCUAUCAACAAAGGUUACCGCACAACUAUCCUGAGGGCCAAAGAAUAACAAUUUUGCAAAUCUCCUUCUUGAACUUUCUUCCUUAAAUAAUACUGUAAUGCCAGUAUCUAUUUUUAAAUGGAUCUCCUUCAGCUAGUGUUUCUCAAACUAUUAGUGUUGACCUAUCACAGAACAGAAAAAUUCAUUUAAUGGGUAAUGGCUUUCAUUUUUAAAUGAAAAUAGAACAGAAUGGGAUGGAUUGGAAUGGGAUUGGAUGGGAUGGGAUGAGAUAAGAUAGAAUACGAAUAUCAGAAUAGAUCACAGAUAGCAAGGGUAAUACGAUGAGUUUAAUAAGAUGUUUCAUUUUUAUAAGUGUGUGUGUGUAUGUGUGUGUAUGGUGAGUUGCAACAUAGAGCAUAUUUCUUACCGAGGAUAAUACCAAAUAAUCUUUUAAGCCACUUAUGGAGAUAUGGAGAUAAACUUUCUUUGGGUCCCAAAUAAAAUAGAAGAUGGUUCUAAUGGAAAUUGCCAUGUACCCAUAGAGAUUAGCUAGAAAGGAAGGUUGGGGGUAAAUUACACCAUGAUCCCAAAACAUUUGCCUGGGAAAACAUUAUUUUUCAAGUGUCAGAAUAACCCCUUCAUGCAGUCCAGACUAUUUUCCGAAAUAGUAGAGUCGUAGUUUGCAUACUCCCAGAAGCAGACCCUGAGACAAGAGAUUCAAAUGCAAAUUAUUUAUUUGAGAAGAGCCCAUCAACUGGGAGCUAGGAAAGUGAUAAAAGGAAGAGAAAGCAGCUAUAAGAGUCAGCUACCAUGAGCAGUUUAUGCACAUGGGAAAACUCAGGGAAAUGGUACAGGACAUGCCAGAGAAUUACCCCAACCAAGGUGCAAGAGAGCAGACAUUUAUAUCCAAUUCAGCUGAAGUCUGCUGCUGGGGCUGAGGGGUGGAAAUGGCAUGUGUUAAUUUCCUAGCACUUCCAGUCUGCCGUGCUUCUGCGCAGAGUGAGGCAGAGAAGUUUCCACUGCUCCCGGGAAAAAACAAAAACAAAAACAAAAAAUCCGUGUACCCUGAGAUGCAGAUGCUGAAAUGUCCAAGAGUUAUGGGUAGAGCACUGCUGUCAACAUCUGUUCACAUGGCUAAUGCUAUAGAAACUCGCCUAAAAGGUUAUGGCAUCCUUUCCAUCUUUGCCUACACACACUCCCCUGGGGGACAGUGCUUGUCCUGAGCUAAACACCUGGUGUGACUGAGUAUGGAAAGCAGUAUGAGUAAUUUCAAGUACUGUUUGUGCUCUAGAGUUUGGAAGAAAAUGAAGGAUGGGUAAAACCUUUUUCAUUGUCCUCAAAUUUCAAUAACUAUGUGAUAAGAACAAAGUAUGCAUAGACCUAAGAGGAAAGCCCUAAUUUUGGCAGAUUUUAAACCACAUAUGCUAGUUUCUCUGGCUCUGAAUGAUCAGUCACAUAUUCCAACUUGGCCUGAUGUGAAUCUGGCCCUCUGAGAUCUAGUUCAAAGAUGAAAUUCUGGGUUAUGAACUUCUUCACAGUUUGCUAAGUAACCUACUCUUCUGACUUUGUUGUCCCCAGCCAGCUAGAGGGAGGAGUGGGGGCCAAAAGCAAUCCUCUGACAUUUAGCCCUUUCCUCACUCUUCCGCCUCAGGACUAGCGCUGAGUUAUAUCAGUUCUGCUUCCUGGGACCUUGCCACAGUGAAGGGAAGGGGAAUUUGCUAAAGUUUUAUGGCCACUUGGAUUCACUGAGCUAAGACGGACAGAUCCAAGGAAUCCCCAUAUUCUGUACAGGGAAAUGCCCCACCCCACCUGUGGGAGAUGUUACUCACAGGUAUGGAACAAUUCCACAGAACUACCAAGAGGACUGGUAAUUCUACACUUUCUCAUCAAUCAUGCAACUGCCAAGUUCCUGGCACUUCCAAGUUGUUAAAUAAAUGGAAUUACCAAGAUGGAUUUAGAUCUGUAGUGAAACAGUCCUUGGAGACUCAACCACAAUGUCAACUAGAGGAAAGAGGAAAAAGGGAGUAUUAACUCUGAAUCCUCAACCCUAACCAACUGAAUAAAUUAAACACCUCUGCCCUAAUCAGAUCCAGGGUUAAUUCUGCAGAAUCUGGUAGAGUAUUAGAGACAACUCUCCAUCAGGUGGUAUAGUUUGUGCAUGAGAUUAGCUAGUUUUUGCACAAAACUAUUCUAUCUUUUCCUCCUGGACCCAUAGCUAGACAUUUCCCAGCCUUUCUUGCAGUGUCCAUGUGGCUCAGAUCUGGCACUGAAAUUUGGGAAGAAAUCAUGUACUCUAUUUCCAGGUCUGAGGCAUUAAAAACUUCCCAUGUGUUCCUCCAUCUGUUGACUGGAAGUCUAGACUAAGGGUAUCUAUGAAAACCAUGUGUUGAAAUGACAAAGCAUCUCUCAGCUUGGGUCCUCCAAAGACUGUGUAGGAAAGGGCUAUCCCCUAUUCCACCCCACUCUCUAGCCCUAAUGGGCUUUUAUAUGAGGAAUAACUGAGCUACCAAGAUUUCAGGGGUUAUCUGUUAUAGCAGCUGCAUACACAUUAAGCAAUGCAGCCACCCGUGACAGAGACUAGGCUUGCUGCCAAGUUGGUUACCCUAGCUGUAUACAGCCUGCUCCCCUCUUCCUCACAGUUGUGGAGGUCCCAGCUUUCUUUACCACUAAGGAGGCAGUUUUAGACAUAAGGGGUGUGUAAGAUGGCUGGGAGACACUGUUAAGGACAUGAUUCUCCAGGGAAAAACUUUGUUCCAUGUUUGUAAUCAGAAGUUUCUGUGGUCACACAGUGAGUCAGAAGCAAAGCAAGGAUUCAUGUUCUCCUUCUGCUGGGGCAACUCCCCUUCUGCAGGAUGGGGGUCUAAGUUCUGUGCUUAGAGAUGUGGGAUAUAAAUUACAAGAAAGGUCAUGAAAUCAGGAUCCUACCUUCCAAUGUAGACCAUUGAGAAGGCUUUAAGCCCACCAGCCUCAGACAGGUGAAGAAUUUUAAAAUCAGCUGGAUAAUCCCUUUUUGGUCUAAAUAUAGUACUUUUCACUCCUUCUCCCAAAUGACUUGCUCCCAUAUCUGCAUAUUGUUAGGAUGCAUAUUCCCAUUAUUUAAUCUGUAAACUACAUAGUUCAAUUCUCUUGUACAAAGAAGCAAAUUGAAAAGAACCACACUUGACACCUAAGUGCUGCUACCCAGAUGCACAGUAAAUUAGUUUAAGAACUAGGAAGAAAACAGGUUCUAACAGGGUGUCUUGAGGCUUUCAACUCUGCCUGGUCGCCAGGACCAGUUGUUUUCUCCACAAAACUGUUCAUGCAGCUCCCGCAGUUUCGUUUGUCCUCGGGGAAUUUAGGAACUCCCUACCCUGAGGAGAAAGAUUCCUCAGAGCAAUGCAAAAGGCACAGGGCAAAGCAAGGGGGAGGAGGCUCGUGACAUGUAGCAGGCCUCUGUCUACAGAGAGACAACUGGGCCUGGGAGUGCUUGCUUGGCCUAUAUUUAGUUUAUCCAGUGACAUCUCUGCACCUCAACGCCAUCUCUCACGCUAGCAAAGGCCUGUGAGACCAAAAGUUUUUCUCAUUGUAGCAAGGCUCUGACUCACUAGUUUUAAAAAAAUAUAUGAGAACAAUAAGACCCAAGAGGACAAGAGAAUUCAAAAAAAUAAUAAUAACACUGAAAGAAACAGUUCUGCAUUCCUUGCAGGCUG
This 5778-nucleotide long non-coding RNA is filed under the name Sus scrofa (pig). Its description in RNAcentral is "lncRNA (ENSSSCG00000056441.1)". The record is from RNAcentral. Lineage: Eukaryota; Metazoa; Chordata; Mammalia; Artiodactyla; Suidae.